UGGGGAAUCUUCCACAAUGGGCGAAAGCCUGAUGGAGCAAUGCCGCGUGUGUGAUGAAGGGUUUCGGCUCGUAAAACACUGUUGUAAGAGAAGAAUGACAUUGAGAGUAACUGUUCAAUGUGUGACGGUAUCUUACCAGAAAGGAACGGCUAAAUACGUGUCAG
RNAcentral lists this ribosomal RNA (164 nucleotides) under uncultured bacterium. RNAcentral describes it as "partial 16S rRNA". It matches the Rfam family "Bacterial small subunit ribosomal RNA", at positions 355 to 511 of the family's 1533-position model. The record is from RNAcentral.